GCAUUGUAUGAAAGAGAGAAGGUUAGAACUCCCGUAGAGAAAGAUGGAAGAGACCCCAGCCUUGACAAUCCGCAUACAGUUGAGGAAAUGCCAUCUACUUGUAGCAUCUAACCAUUGUUU
This is a small nuclear RNA of Otolemur garnettii (small-eared galago), 120 nucleotides long. The record is from Ensembl. NCBI's taxonomy places the organism in Eukaryota, Metazoa, Chordata, Mammalia, Primates, Galagidae.